This is a long non-coding RNA of Lycium barbarum (goji berry), 760 nucleotides long. RefSeq lists it as uncharacterized. The transcript is spliced from 3 exons. Lineage: Eukaryota; Viridiplantae; Streptophyta; Magnoliopsida; Solanales; Solanaceae. The record is from RefSeq and is a predicted model, not a curated record.
AAUGUGUUGGCUAUGAAAUUAUUGGUGUGAAAUACGGAAGAAGGCCAAGGGAAAAAAUUGGAAUUUCGGAAAUUAGCCUCGGGAAUUUUAAAUUAGCCAUAAGUAAUUGGGCUUGGGGAAUCAAAAAAAAAAAAGAAAGAGAAGGCCCAAAUAUGCAAAGGGUGGCCGGCCAUGGUAAUUAAAAUGGCCCAAGCCCACAAUAAAUUUAACUCAUGUAUUAAUAAGAAGAUGAUCCAUAAUUCUUUCCUUUUCAAGAAGUUUCAAGAACAUAAAAUUGAGAGGAAAAAAAAAGAAGGCCUACGGCCAAGAAGAGAAAGAGAAAAGAAAAGAAAAAAAAAAUCUUGGAGUUAAAUCCUUGGUUCAAAAAUCCAUUUCUUGUGGGAUUAUUACUAAGUGCAAGAUUCUCUACAACUUGGUACAAUUAUUUUGGCAAGAAACUAUCUUUGGUAGCAAGGAGAAUUUGUUGGUAAAAAGAUUCUGGACGAGAUUGGAAUCGAAGCCAAGCGAGCGUAAGGCGCAAUCGAGGUACAGACGCACCUGAAGAUACGCCGCCAGUCUAGGGCUCAGAUUCUGCUAUUUUGAAGAGCUCCUUUGGUCCGGAGCGUGUACUUUUGGUAUAUAUCUUCUGUCUUCUGUAUAUUCUGUAUGUAUGGCAACUCCGGGUACGGCGGGGCCCUGUCCCGUCAUAUGACUCUGUCGGUCUGUUUAGAGGUCUGUGGACAUGUUUGUGGGUUAGGGUCUUUCUGUACGGAUGUGUGUA